AUUUUUCUGUAGUGUAUUUUUAGUAGUUAUCAAUCGAUGUGCUCAACGUAUGAUUAUAUUAUAGUCAUUUAUUUGUAUUUUUUUUAAUUUUUACAUUAAUUUCACAAUUGUUAUGAUUUUUUCAUUAACUUGUACUUUUAUAAAAUAAUCAGAGAAUGUAACUAACGUAUGAAAUCAUUCUAACCAUUUUUUCUAUUCCUUCAUAUUUUAUAUUUUUUAUUUAGUUGCUCUUAAUUUUUUAAC
Molecule: long non-coding RNA, 243 nt
Filed under: Salvia miltiorrhiza (redroot sage)
Lineage: Eukaryota; Viridiplantae; Streptophyta; Magnoliopsida; Lamiales; Lamiaceae
Description: long non-coding RNA (SMIL_LNC008556)
Source: RNAcentral